Molecule: ribosomal RNA, 240 nt
Filed under: uncultured bacterium
Lineage: Bacteria
Description: partial 16S ribosomal RNA
Rfam family: Bacterial small subunit ribosomal RNA
Source: RNAcentral
CGAAUGGGUUUAGACCCAUGGCAGACGAGGUAGUAACACGUAGAUUACGUACCCUAAAGUCAGGAAUAACCUGGAGAAAUCCAGAAUAAUACCUGAUAGUCCCUACGGGGUAAAGUUUUAACGCUUUAGGAACGGUCUGCGGGAUAUCAGCUUGUUGGUAGUGUAAUGGACUACCAAGGCUAAGACGUCUAGGGGAGGUGAGAGCCUGACCCCCACCGAUGGAACUGAGACACGGUCCAU